Molecule: long non-coding RNA, 2112 nt
Organism: Oreochromis aureus
Lineage: Eukaryota; Metazoa; Chordata; Actinopteri; Cichliformes; Cichlidae
Exons: 3
Source: RefSeq, a predicted model, not a curated record
AGAAGAAGAAGAAGCCGCGUCCCGCUUUAUGGCCUUUUUCUCUCAAUUUAAUUUAGGGUCUGAUUUAAAGCUGAUCAGCAGCAGGAGAAGAAACUGAUGGAGCAGCAGAGGAAUAUUUUCAUCCAUUCGGAAUCAGCUCAGCCACUACAGGGGAAACAAUGAGCUCAACACAGAAGUGAUCUUUUUGGACACCCCCACAGAAGAGCAGCAUGUGCAGUCCAAGAAUGUCACCAAGGAGCAAUGUGACGACAAACAAAGCCACGUCAAAGAACACCCUGAUCAACAAGCAAGCAGAGAGCCUCACCAAGGAGCAUCAAGCUUCUAGGCUCCUGGAGGGGCAUCCAAAGAGCCUGUCAGAUGAGCAGACAGAGACUGUUUUUGUUUUCAAUCUUGUUUCUUUAUCUGGCAAAAUACUCCAGCUUGAGUAUUUUUAUUUACAUGUUAAGUAUGAUUUUAAUAGUAUGUACCAUUGAAUCCAGUACCAUUUCAUCACAGCAUUAAUAUUUUGAAUGUGGUAGUAGUACUUCUGCAUUUACUUUAUAUUUCUAAGCCAGACAUGUCAAACCUUUUGCCCAGGGGACACAAAUGGCUCACUAGAGUUUCCAGUCUUGCUAACUGAAUGUUCUGGAAAGUGUGGACAUUUCAGUGAAGUCAUGAGUUGAAAUGAAUUGGUGAUGCAAUGCUAGUACUGACACACCACAGUUAAAUUAAAAGUCUUCGAUGCUUGCAUCUAUAUUUUUGGUUCCCGCUAUUUAAAAUAGAUUUCCUUCUCGGUAUUGUCCUAAUUCGGUAGCCAACUUCUAAAACUACCAGGAGAGACUCUGCUGAUAUAUUUGACAGCUGUCACAUACUUCGGAAGAAGGCACACUACGUGGAAGCAACUCGUUUUGUGUACGAGUCAAUGUUAACUAACGGUAACGAUAUGGUCACAGACGGUUAUCUGGACGGUGAUAGCGCUGAGGGGUCGAGAUGACAGAAAAGCUGGAACAGAUUCUGUCACAGCUGACACAGCCUGACAUUGACAUCAUUCAGCAGGUAAUGCCACAAAUAAUUUUAUUAAAGUUAACGUUAGCAUUGCUUUGCCCGGCUAUAAAGGAACUUUCUGACAUGGCUGCUGGAGAUAAGCUAGCUGAUGUUUGUUAAGUUUUGGUUAGCUAACUGUAAUACCACUGGUACUGAUAUUUAAGACACUGGGUUCUCAUAUUAGCCAUUUACUGCCUGAAUAGUUGGUACCUCAAAUAAAAACCAGGCUUCGGUUCAGAGUCAAACAUUUAGUAAACAAUUAAACAAAUAAAAGUAAACUGCAAUAAAUUACAGGUAGUAAUAAAAUACUCUACUAACUCUUUUACGCUACGUCCACACCUACACAGGUAUUUAUGAAAACGCAGCUGUUUCUAUGUGUUUAGGCCUUUCGUCCACAUAUAAACAGCGUUUCGAAUCACUGAAAAUUGAGAUUUGGAGAUAAAACUCAGUUUUUGUGUUUAGGUGUGGACGAGGAAUACAGAGUUCGUCACGCAGUGUCAAAGGUGUCUUAAAAGUGCCUUUGGGAGUUUUUCUAAAAGCAGAUUUAGGAAGCACUAAUAGGCUGAUUGAUAAGGAACCUGUUGAGAAAUUUUUUUUUUUUGUUUUUGAUGCAAGUUACCCAAAGUCAUGCGCCCAGGUUCGGGAAUUCCUUCACACUAACAUCUAUCCCAGGAAUAGAUGAAUCCCAGGACAUGAACCAAAUAUGAUCAAAUGAAUGAGGGCUGAUUUAGCUGUGAUGGAAGCGUAAAAUGUUGCUCACGAAGGUGUAUGAAAUGAUCUGAGAGGGAGAUUCCCUCUUGCCACUUUACCAAAGUGUUGAUGUAUGUUAAGCACUGAAAAAUCAUCAAUUCAUCAGUUUUUUAAAGUUAAAAGUUUUUACAUGUAAUUUGUUCUAAAAAUAGAGCUGACUUUACAUAGCAUGUCUUCAUGUGUGCUAACAUGUACGUGUGCUGUAACCAAAGACUGAUUUGAAAUAAUGGAUAUAAUAUAAUGAAUGAUAUACUUUUUUGUUAAUUGCAUUUUACUUUCAUUGAUAUAUUUUUUAUGAAUUUUGGUGUCUAUGUUGUGUGUCAUAUGGCAAUAAAAAGA